RNAcentral lists this non-coding RNA (178 nucleotides) under Fusibacter sp. 3D3. RNAcentral also lists the same sequence under 1 other name. Lineage: Bacteria; Bacillati; Bacillota; Clostridia; Eubacteriales; Fusibacteraceae. The record is from RNAcentral.
AUUGAAUAGUUUAAUCAAGGUGCUUACUCUUUUAGCUAAGAGGGAAAGAGGUUGAAAUCCUCUGCAGCCCCCGCUACUGUAUAUAGUGAUGAAAUCCAAGAAUCCACUGAGAAAUUGGGAAGGAUGGAAAGUAAAGUGAUCUAUGAGCCAGGAAACCUGCCUUGAUUUAGGAUGAAUC